RNAcentral lists this long non-coding RNA (649 nucleotides) under Sinocyclocheilus grahami. Its description in RNAcentral is "lncRNA (ENSSGRG00000042807.1)". Lineage: Eukaryota; Metazoa; Chordata; Actinopteri; Cypriniformes; Cyprinidae. The record is from RNAcentral.
CAGCAACUCGAUGACGCAGCAGCAACAGAGGCCUGUGGAACGAUUGCUGGGCUGAGAGAAUAACAGAGAGACGCUGCUUUGGCCCAGCCUUGACACUCAAACACACACACUCACACACACACACACAACGGCACAAAGGAAGUAGAGAGCAGCUGAUCUGGCCCUGAAGGAGAAACUGUGCUGCAGAGGCUCUGUCCUUCGCUCUCCUCUCAACCAUGGCAGAACAAACUGAUCUCACCCUGGGCCAGACUGUUUACAUCUACUGCUGCUCAAAUAUGGAAGAGGAGGAGGAAUAGAUCAGGACUGGAUCACGUACCGAGUUCUGCUGCAUGAUGACCACCAGAGGGCACAUCAAUGUAGCUCCUGACGCACAUUUAUUAAUCGCACCAACAGGGACCAGAGGAAAGACGAUCUCGAUUAUGAGGAGCGGUAUGAACAAACAUCAGGUCAGUCUGCCUCCUGGGGUGCACACGCACUUGAAAUAGAUAGUGAGAAGCAGAAAUGGGUCAGUUUGCUAGGAUGGACUUUCAAGGAAGGUGCAGAAUCUGACCUUUGUUCAUUUCCUCAUUGUGCUACUAUGUACAUUAGUCAGCCAAAGAGUCAAACAAGUGUCAUGCACUUGGAUGCUGACAAAAGACAAAUUUCAAAG